CGAACCCUCAAGCACGGCUUGUGUGUUGGGCCGCCGUCCCCCCGUUGCAGGGGGGGGGACGGGCCUGAAAGGCAGCGGCGGCGUCGCGUCCGGUCCUCGAGCGUAUGGGGCUCUGUCACGCGCUCAAGGAGGGGUCCGGCCGGGGCCAUAGCCUCAAAGGUCAGACUUUUUUCCAA
RNAcentral lists this unclassified non-coding RNA (176 nucleotides) under Thermomyces dupontii. RNAcentral describes it as "partial internal transcribed spacer 2". Lineage: Eukaryota; Fungi; Ascomycota; Eurotiomycetes; Eurotiales; Trichocomaceae. The record is from RNAcentral.